RNAcentral lists this ribosomal RNA (263 nucleotides) under uncultured archaeon. RNAcentral's name for it is "partial 16S ribosomal RNA". It matches the Rfam family "Archaeal small subunit ribosomal RNA", at positions 748 to 1009 of the family's 1478-position model. The record is from RNAcentral.
CAGCCGUAAACUAUGCGCGUUAGGUGUAUCGGUGACCACGAGUUACCGAGGUGCCGAAGGGAAACCGUGAAACGUGCCGCCUGGGAAGUACGGUCGCAAGGCUGAAACUUAAAGGAAUUGGCGGGGGAGGCACCACAACAGGUGGAGCCUGCGGGUUUAAUUGGACUCAACGCCGGGAAGCUCACCGGAUAGGACAGCAGAAUGAUUGCCGGGCUGAAGACUCUGCAUGACUAGCUGAGAGGAGGUGCAUGGCGUAGACGUCU